Molecule: small RNA, 891 nt
Filed under: Colletotrichum sp. 2 NVL-2017
Lineage: Eukaryota; Fungi; Ascomycota; Sordariomycetes; Glomerellales; Glomerellaceae
Description: eukaryotic LSU rRNA
Rfam family: Eukaryotic large subunit ribosomal RNA
Source: RNAcentral
GCAUAUCAUUAAGCGGAGGAAAAGAAACCAACAGGGAUUGCCUCAGUAACGGCGAGUGAAGCGGCAACAGCUUCAAAUUNUGAAAUCUGGCCCCAGGCCCGAGUUGUAAUUUGCAGAGGAUGCUUUUGGCGCGGUGCCUUCCGAGUUCCCUGGAACGGGACGCCAUAGAGGGUGAGAGCCCCGUACGGUUGGACACCAAGCCUUUGUAAAGCUCCUUCGACGAGUCGAGUAGUUUGGGAAUGCUGCUCAAAAUGGGAGGUAUAUUUCUUCUAAAGCUAAAUAUUGGCCAGAGACCGAUAGCGCACAAGUAGAGUGAUCGAAAGAUGAAAAGCACUUUGAAAAGAGGGUUAAACAGCACGUGAAAUUGUUAAAAGGGAAGCGCUUAUGACCAGACUUGCGCCCGGUGAAUCACCCAGCUCUCGCGGCUGGGGCACUUUGCCGGCUCAGGCCAGCAUCAGCUCGCUGUCGGGGACAAAAGCUUCGGGAACGUAGCUCUCUUCGGGGAGUGUUAUAGCCCGUUGCACAAUACCCUUCGGCGGGCUGAGGUACGCGCUCCGCAAGGAUGCUGGCGUAAUGGUCAUCAGCGACCCGUCUUGAAACACGGACCAAGGAGUCAACCUUAUGUGCGAGUGUUUGGGUGUUAAACCCCUACGCGUAAUGAAAGUGAACGCAGGUGAGAGCUUCGGCGCAUCAUCGACCGAUCCUGAUGUUCUCGGAUGGAUUUGAGUAAGAGCAUAUAGGGUUGGACCCGAAAGAAGGUGAACUAUGCGUGUAUAGGGUGAAGCCAGAGGAAACUCUGGUGGAGGCUCGCAGCGGUUCUGACGUGCAAAUCGAUCGUCAAAUAUGCGCAUGGGGGCGAAAGACUAAUCGAACCUUCUAGUAGCUGGGUUC